RNAcentral lists this ribosomal RNA (253 nucleotides) under uncultured bacterium. Its description in RNAcentral is "partial 16S ribosomal RNA". It matches the Rfam family "Bacterial small subunit ribosomal RNA", at positions 524 to 776 of the family's 1533-position model. The record is from RNAcentral.
UACGUAGGUGGCAAGCGUUGUCCGGAUUUACUGGGCGUAAAGGGCGUGCAGGCGGUUUGUUAAGUGCAGGGUGAAAGCUCCCGGCUCUACUGGGAGAGGUCCUUGCAUACUGGCGAACUCGAGGGAGGCAGAGGAAAGUGGAAUUCCCGGGGUAGUGGUGAUAUGCGUAGAUAACGGGAGGAACACCUGUGGCGAAGGCGGCGUUCUGGACCUUACCUGACGCUGAGACGCGAAAGCGUGGGGAGCGAACCGG